GUCAUCAGUAAGCAAGAGGAGUGUCUAAAGGAACUGGAGGAACUCAAAUUUGAAAUCCAGAAGUGUCAAUUCGAGAGGGAUGAACUUUAUCAAAUCCUGGAUCUUUAUAUCUAUGAUGAGUGGGACCACAGGCUGCAUGUCGAAUAGCCAGUCCUUCAAUCCGAACAUGAGAUGAGAAUGAUGGCUAUGCAAAUGAUGACCAACUCAAUAAGUGAUGCCAUGGAGAGGUACAAGGAGCUCAUACAAGUGAACAGUUCCUACCGCAUCAGGCUGUCCCAGCUCCUGCGUGAACAAGCUCAAUUGGAGAACAAUAUACAGAUUUUGCUGAAUGAGAAGAGAGAACUGCUGGUGGAGCAGACUGAACUGCCAGCAUCUUCUGUGGAGACAAAGAGGUUCUGAGAAGAGGCUGGAAUGAACAUCUGUGACCCCAGAGCCAAGCAACUACAGGUCUGAAAUUCUCCAGCAGAAACUCGAACAUGACACAGUCCAGGACAAGAUCUCCCUUGGAGAGAAGUGCUACAGGAGGAGGACUAAGUGUGCACAGCAAAUGCACCACUAUUGCAUCUCAUCUGUACUGUCCAUAGCAAUUGUGGACUGCAUUUUCCUCCUUUAGUUUGAUUUCUUUGGAUUGAAUACGCUGUAUUUUCACCUUGCCUCUCUCCAGCAAGUGUACACUUUUCGAGGGACUCAGAGAAGUGCUGAUGCACAUCUAUCAAGAGCUGCUGGUCAUCCAGAAAGACUGUGCACGUGUAAAUUUGUACUUGUCCUGAUGGGUCAUCCAGAAGAGUUUCAUGGAGAUCAGUUCACAAUAUUGGAAAGACUUUGUGACAAAGUCUGUAAUAUCAUUUAUACUCAGUAUUGGUAGGCUUUUUCCUUAAUACCCCCACUCCAACAAAACAGACCUACUUCCACUCCUCUUGAAAAGAUUAUUACCAUCACUAACUGCUUGUCUACUAUGUCUCCAAGGCAAGCCACAGGCUAUAAGUCUAUUCUGCAAAAGGAGCAGCAAAAAAUGCUUAGUGCAAUUCCUCUAUUUAAAGUUUGGUUAAUUUUUAAUUGUUUUGGUUAUUUGGUUUUCCUUCUAUUCAUUUGAAGAUUUGUUAUUUAUCUGUUGUUGUUGUUUUGUUCAUUUGCUUUUCUAUUUUGAUAAGGAUAUAGACUGUAUAUAUUGACUACCUGCAUCUGGUUACUAUCAAGUAAAUUGGAUGUAUUCUGGUCAAUAAAGGAGUAAUCUCAAA
This is a long non-coding RNA of Rattus norvegicus (Norway rat), 1238 nucleotides long. RefSeq lists it as uncharacterized. The record is from RefSeq and is a predicted model, not a curated record. NCBI's taxonomy places the organism in Eukaryota, Metazoa, Chordata, Mammalia, Rodentia, Muridae.